ACACAUGCAAGUCGAGCGGAUGACAGGAGCUUGCUCCUGAAUUCAGCGGCGGACGGGUGAGUAAUGCCUAGGAAUCUGCCUGGUAGUGGGGGACAACGUUUCGAAAGGAACGCUAAUACCGCAUACGUCCUACGGGAGAAAGCAGGGGACCUUCGGGCCUUGCGCUAUCAGAUGAGCCUAGGUCGGAUUAGCUAGUUGGUGAGGUAAUGGCUCACCAAGGCGACGAUCCGUAACUGGUCUGAGAGGAUGAUCAGUCACACUGGAACUGAGACACGGUCCAGACUCCUACGGGAGGCAGCAGUGGGGAAUAUUGGACAAUGGGCGAAAGCCUGAUCCAGCCAUGCCGCGUGUGUGAAGAAGGUCUUCGGAUUGUAAAGCACUUUAAGUUGGGAGGAAGGGCAUUAACCUAAUACGUUAGUGUUUUGACGUUACCGACAGAAUAAGCACCGGCUAACUCUGUGCCAGCAGCCGCGGUAAUACAGAGGGUGCAAGCGUUAAUCGGAAUUACUGGGCGUAAAG
This 519-nucleotide ribosomal RNA is filed under the name Pseudomonas sp. SF-2-05. RNAcentral describes it as "bacterial SSU rRNA". It matches the Rfam family "Bacterial small subunit ribosomal RNA", at positions 51 to 565 of the family's 1533-position model. Lineage: Bacteria; Pseudomonadati; Pseudomonadota; Gammaproteobacteria; Pseudomonadales; Pseudomonadaceae. The record is from RNAcentral.